CACUCGUUCUGUCUUGUGGGUUUUAUCAGAGCGGAAGGGAAAUAGCGAGCGCAGCCGAGAGCGGCAGACUGGGCGAACUGCGAUGAACAGGCGAGCUCUAAUAAAGUAUGUGACAUCGCGCGUCGGAGGGGCCAGGAUGGGGCUUUGCAAUGUGCGCUGCUACAAGGAGCGUUGAGAUUAUUCUUCCGCAGGCAUUACGUUUCACCGUUUUUGUCAUCAGACAUUGCAGCACGUCAUACCUACGACAGAUGGUGGUGCCUGCCUUGUGCUGAGGACCUUCCAAGGUGGCCUGGGCAGUUACCGUACUUUUUGACGUAGGAGCUGCCAAGGCGUCCUGUCCCUUUCACGUGAACAGUGGCCAGCACUGGAAGAAGCAAUCUUUGGACUGCUGUAAUGCAUUCUUUGGGCAAGUAAAUAAAUUGCUUUGAAUCAGAGACCUGGUGUUUGCACAGCCGCUCCACAGA
Molecule: long non-coding RNA, 464 nt
Organism: Ixodes scapularis (black-legged tick)
Lineage: Eukaryota; Metazoa; Arthropoda; Arachnida; Ixodida; Ixodidae
Exons: 3
Source: RefSeq, a predicted model, not a curated record